This 869-nucleotide long non-coding RNA is filed under the name Homo sapiens (human). RNAcentral's name for it is "non-protein coding MIR217HG:8". The record is from RNAcentral. Lineage: Eukaryota; Metazoa; Chordata; Mammalia; Primates; Hominidae.
AAAAUGGCUCUGUCUAUCAAGUGAAUAACAAAGUGUAGACUGCCUGUCUGUUUCCUAUACAAAACUUAGAUUUCAUUUGCCAUUAUUGUCGGCCUUUCUGCUGAUUUAAUAACUUCUAAGGAGAAGAACUAGGGGUUCUGAUGCAGCCUCACUAUUUAAGAAACUACUUGGAAAGGGAAUUCUCAAGGGCUGAAAGAGCCUUCAGAUGGUCAGAUAAAGUACCUGAUGCUGAAAAACAGGAAAUUGAAUCAUGUCUCCAAAAUGUGCCUUUUGUCAUGCACUGUUACAGCUAUAUUUCUUGAAUAAACACCUUCUUAUAGGAUGUGAAUCCUGCCAGAUUGUGGCAUGGCACUCAACUCCUCAAAGAAGCCAUUGAGUUCCAGUCAGGCACUGCGAGAAUUGCAGAAGAAAUCUCAAACUUGGCCCCUGCCUCCAAGAAGCUGACAAUGGCUCUUUAGGCCUUAAUGAUUGACAUGAUCUUGGAAAACAGGUAUGUAGCAAAACUCUCCUAGAAACCUGAAAGAUGUGGCAAGAAGAAAACAUGGAGCCUUUUCUGAACAAGCCUAUGAGAGAAGAAGAAUCACUUCAAUUUAUUAAGUGUGGAUUCUGGGGCUAAAGAACUUACCUACAACCACACAGCCAGCAAAUUACUGACCCAGCAUAUUCUGAACCCAGGUCUUUAUUCUUUCCAAAACUUCACAGCACCUUCCUCAGAGCAUCUCUACAUGAAAAUCUGUAUAAAGAAGUGAUCUGUGGUGUCGCCAUUUGUAUCAAAAUGGUAUCACAAACUUAUUUAAAAGGCUUCAUCUAAAAGUCUUCAGAGUUUUGGCCAGGGAAGAGCUCUAAUAUCACACAUUAAUAACCUUACC